GACGAACGCUGGCGGCGUGCCUAAUACAUGCAAGUUGAGCGCUGAAGGUUGGUACUUGUACCAACUGGAUGAGCAGCGAACGGGUGAGUAACGCGUGGGGAAUCUGCCUUUGAGCGGGGGACAACAUUUGGAAACGAAUGCUAAUACCGCAUAAAAACUUUAAACACAAGUUUUAAGUUUGAAAGAUGCAAUUGCAUCACUCAAAGAUGAUCCCGCGUUGUAUUAGCUAGUUGGUGAGGUAAAGGCUCACCAAGGCGAUGAUACAUAGCCGACCUGAGAGGGUGAUGGGCCGCAGUGGGACUGAGACAGGGCCCAAACUCCUACGGGAGGCAGCAGUAGGGAAUCUUCGGCAAUGGCCGAAAGUCUGACCGAGCAACGCCGCGUGAGUGAAGAAGGUUUUCGGAUCGUAAAACUCGGUUGGUAGAGAAGAACGUUGGUGAGAGUGGAAAGCUCAUCAAGUGACGGUAACUACCCAGAAAGGGACGGCUAACUACGUG
Molecule: ribosomal RNA, 497 nt
Filed under: uncultured bacterium
Lineage: Bacteria
Description: partial 16S ribosomal RNA
Rfam family: Bacterial small subunit ribosomal RNA
Source: RNAcentral